This 200-nucleotide ribosomal RNA is filed under the name Hypoponera sp. MI15.05. RNAcentral's name for it is "partial large subunit ribosomal RNA". Lineage: Eukaryota; Metazoa; Arthropoda; Insecta; Hymenoptera; Formicidae. The record is from RNAcentral.
GAAUUUUAUAUAUUAAAUAAAUUAUUAAAAUUUAUAUUAAAAUAUUUUAUUGGGAGGAUAUUUAAAUUAGAAAAACUUUAAUUAUAUAAUUACAUUGAUUAUUGAUUUAAAAUGAAUAAAUAUAAUUUUAUUAAGAAUUAAUUACCUUAGGGAUAACAGCAUAAUAUUUUUUUGUAGUUCUUAUAUAAAAUAAUGAUUAU